AUGCCGUUGUUGGUGUGCGAAUCCUGGAAGGAGCCAAGAUUUGGGAAAAUUGUCUCUGCCACCUUCUAAACUACUCUUCAUAUCAAGUAACGCCCAACUCAUGGGAUUGGGACACGUUUUGUGCUCGAAGGAACGACAUCAUAAUAACGGACGACGGCGAUUCUUAGCCCUCCGUCCACCUCUUCACGUAGCGUCCGUACUUUCUAAGCCUUGUUUUGAAGGAGGUUUAAUUUCUGCAGAACAGUACCAAGCAGAGAGAACUGUGGAUCUUCACUCACAAGAAAGUCAAAUAACAACCAAACUGCUUUACUGAGACCUAUCCUGUUUGAGGCACUGUUAUGUUUAGUAUUAAGAAGGUCUGAGUUUUCUCAUCUUUAAAUGGGAAAUAUGAAACUCAAAGAAGUUAACAGCCACAUGCCCAAAGUCAAUCAGUCAGUAGGUCAAAAAUACUGAUUGAGAGCUGAGAAUUUGCCCAAAAUAUUUUCACUAAAAAUGCGUGAUCGAGUAACACGAAGACAAAUAAUUUGACUAUGCUACAUGAUUGGCUAUUUUAACUGCUAAGCAGAUACAUUGUGCCUUAUGAACACAGCCAUUCAUUGCAAGGUGAGUUGAUUAAUGUAAAUGCUUCAGAAACCCAAACAUUUCCAGUUUCCUUCCUUCUUUCAUCCUAAACCUCCUUUUGCCCCUUUAUUUAUUAGCCAAAGCUCUAGAGAGUAAGGUCAUUUAUUCAAAUAUUUUGAAUAUUUUGUAUUCAGCCUCUUAUAUGAAAUAAUUCUUACUUCUGAAAUUACUUUGUUUUUGUCAAAAGCAAUUUAGCAUUAUUAACCAAGAGACUUAAAACUCCCCAUUCCCCUUGGCCAAGUAAUUACACUUGUAGGUGUCUCUCUUAAGGAAUGAUCUAAAAUACAGAUAGAAUGGGGGCGCCUGGAUGGCUCAGUCAU
Molecule: long non-coding RNA, 941 nt
Organism: Herpailurus yagouaroundi (jaguarundi)
Lineage: Eukaryota; Metazoa; Chordata; Mammalia; Carnivora; Felidae
Exons: 4
Source: RefSeq, a predicted model, not a curated record